GACGAACCGUGCGAACGUUGUUCGGAAUCACUGGGCUUAAAGGGCGCGUAGGCGGACGUCCGAGUCAGAGGUGAAAGCCCCCGGCCCAACCGGGGAAGGGCCCCUGAUACCGGGCGUCUGGAGUGGGGGAGGGGCAGCUGGAACUUCCGGAGGAGCGGUGAAAUGCGUAGAGAUCGGAAGGAACGCCGGCGGCGAAAGCGAGCUGCUGGACCCCAACUGACGCUGAGGCGCGAAAGCCAGGGGAGCGAACGGG
Molecule: unclassified non-coding RNA, 253 nt
Filed under: uncultured Planctomycetia bacterium
Lineage: Bacteria; Pseudomonadati; Planctomycetota; Planctomycetia
Description: contains 16S-23S intergenic spacer region
Rfam family: Bacterial small subunit ribosomal RNA
Source: RNAcentral